Onychostruthus taczanowskii (white-rumped snowfinch) is the source of this 4151-nucleotide long non-coding RNA. RefSeq lists it as uncharacterized. The transcript has 8 exons. Lineage: Eukaryota; Metazoa; Chordata; Aves; Passeriformes; Passeridae. The record is from RefSeq and is a predicted model, not a curated record.
GGAGCUCGAGUGCUUGUGGCUGGCCCUUGAAUCCAUGCUGGUCCCUUUUCCUCGGGCUGAGCUGCAAGGAGCGCAGCAGCUGCGGCAUUUAGGUAUCUCUCAGCAGGACCUCUAUCCCACAUUCAUCAACCUGUGAACCACCUGAAACCAGGACCCAGCCCUGUGCUUAGGGGUUCAUCAGCCCCUACUUCACUCCAUCCUUUUGUCAUCCAUCAAAAUCUACCCCUGUACAGCAGGCCCCCCUGGAAAGCUGCUCUCAUCACAGUACCUGAUUAGAAGACAUUUGAAGUGAAAUGCAAGUGUGGGACUGGUUCUGAGUGCAGCUGGAAGUGCUGUGAUGUUCCAUGCUUAGGAAUAACGUGUGGCCAGUGACUGGUCCCACAAACCCUUCUGCAGAUAAGUAAUCCUAUCAAAGGCAGUUGAGUGCAUUUGAUUAAGGAUUACAUGCGAUUAGUGGGCUGCAAGGUUGAGAGUACAACUCGUAUCAUUAAUGAGUAUUCACAUAUAAAUGCUGCUUUGAGCAGAGAUUGAACUAGAUGACUUCAGAGGCCUGUUCCUACUAGAAUGAUUUUUUGAUUAUCACACUUGUAUUAUGCAAAUAGAUAACUUCCUUUAUAAAAAAAUUCAUUAGUUGCAUAAGCUGAACUCUAGUAAGUCACUGCCAUUAUUUUACCUAAUUGCAUCGUGUAGUAGCGUGGAGUUGCAAAUUUGACCCAAGUUUAAGAUUAAAAACAAUAAGAGGAAUACACCCCUGCCUUUUUUGUGUAUUGCCUCAAAUUCUUUGUAUACAGUUUUAUGUCAGAUUGAAUUCCUUGUGCAGAAAUUCUUUCCUAGCAUACGGUUGACUUUUUCUAGAAUUAGUCCAGAGUAGAGUGCCUGAAAAUUGAUGCUUUAUGCACAAUUGAGGUGCGUGAAUGGAUUUAAACUUACUCUGCCUAAUUCUUGUACCACUAGUACUGAGAUUAUGGUAACAAAGGCAUCAGUGCAGGUUAGCAGCCUAAGAAGGGCUUGAGGCCCUAAAAACUUUCCAAAGCAAGGGCUCAGAAUGUGAGAGGGCAUUCUUAUAUUGAAAAAAAAAUCCCAAACCCACUGCCACCCCAACAAAUCCCCCCACUGUUAGAAUAUACUAUGUAGAAUCUGAAUAUAUGUAGAUGUUGAGACACAGCUGGUUGAGUUUAAUAAACAAUAAUCCUUCUUAUGUGCAGGGAAUCAUAUGGAUUCCUGUGCCUGUAUAAACUUUCUACCCAUUGAUACUUCUGUAACUGUUCUCAUUUAGUAUUGUUAAUUGCUUCCUUUUAAGCAAGAAGUUGGUGGUAAGAAAGGAAAUCUCUUAACUGCUGUCUGUAAAAGGCCAAUCACUUUCACUUGCAUGCAAUUAGAAAUGUUUUUAUGUAACAUUUUAAGCCUCCCAAUAGUUACAUUAAUCUCAGAAACAGGCUAUAGUUGUUGUCCUGUCUUAUUGGUGACAGUAUAUUUCAGGAAAACACUUGGUUGUAUGCUUUUAUUUAAAAAUACAAGGAGUAUGGUAGCAUUGCAAGUAAUGUGUUAAGGACCUGGCAGGUCUCUUGGGCUUUUAGGGAGUUUAGAAAGCAAUUAAAAGGAAUAAGAGGUGCUAGGAAGGAGUGGAGUUAUUUCUUUAUGCUGCUCUUCACCACAGUGAUGUUGUGAGCAUUUUAUUCUUUUCAAAUAAUGUUGAUUGGAUGUUAUCUGAUUAUGGGAUUAGAGUGGCAAAAGACUGAAUGCUAGAAUGAAGUGCUAAAGACUCCUAAGUCACCAGGACUCGGUGCUAUUCAUUCCUUUAGUGGUUGUAAAGGAUGAAGUGGCUGAUCUGCUAAGAAGAAUGCAUCUCGUUAGGAUGAGAUGCUGUGCCAGGAGACCGGAAGCUGUCAAGGGCUGUACAUACUGUACUUCUAAACGGAACACAAAGAGCAGAGCUGGAAUUUGCAGACCAAGGACUCUUAUUUUAAUGCCACUUAAGUAGCUUUGAAUUCUGCAUGGAUAGUCUAGUAGUUCAGUGAGCACAAGAUACAACAGCUUUCUAUGCAGUUGUAUCUUAGAGGUAAUGAAAAAUACCAGCUGCAGCUGGGGUACCUGUCAUGUGUCUCUUGCUUGUGUGUUUGUUCCCUAAUAACAAGGGCAUAGGCUGCAGUCUGUACUUCACUUUCAUCUGUUUGUGGCUUGGUCUUCUAUAUCUAUUUGCCCACUACUUGGAUUUUUGAAGUCUCUGAAUUCUUAUUGAACUAUAAAUGUCUUUUCAAUUUUCCUUUUUGAUAAAGUUUGAAAUCAGGUAGUGGAUUUGAAAGUUAUAAAAGGCCAGGCCUAACCUAAGCAGGCAUGUUUAACUGCAUUAAUCUCGUCUGUGUUUAGCAGUCUAAACAAUUACUAAGUUGCUCCUGUUAUUAGCAGACAAGAGAGGGAUGAAGCUAUACACUGAUACACUCACGCACCCUGUUUAGUUCAUCCCACCUUAAACUUGCAGUGUAUAUGGCCUUUGGCAGGAAAUUAUAUUCCAUGCAAUUUUUGUGAGGCUCUACAGGUCUUCAUUUUUGAUGUCAUUGUGGGGAUGAUGACCAGUGAUGCAGAGGUGGAGCUGAAAGUUAAAGCAGUUCAGUAGUAUGGUAUGCUGCUUUCAGUGGCAAAGCUGUGAUGUACCUUGUAGUUUACACUCAGGUGACAACAGCAGUUUCCUAAGUACUGACAACUGUAGCUGCAAUUGGCUGUGUGGUCUUGUUCCCUCACUUUCCCUCCUGUUGCAUUAGCACAGUGAUUUGUGCCAUCAUGCAGUGACUUGAAUCAGAAAAUUGAUCCUGACUUCGAGAGGGGUCUGUGGCAAGCAGCAAUUUCUAACCCAAGCUAGUUCCUCACUCUGGUCUAGUGGGAGGCUCCACCAGGAGAUGGGAUCAUGGCAUAAGGAUGAGAACAAGCAGCAGGAGGGUCCUCUCUCUUUGAACUGGCAUUUUACCAAAUAUAUGCUCAUCAGAUUAUGUCUCUAGAAUCUGUGACUCAUCUUGCCCUCAAUUCAAUUACUUCAGAUGAUCUGUAAAUUUUCAAUAAUGGCAAUACAUUCAUUCUGCCAUUUGGAGGAGCCUGUGCCACAGAAUAAUGAUCUGAAGAAAGCUCACUCAUUUGCAAGGAAGAGUCUUCAUUUGGGAAUUAGCACUGAUGCAGCGAAGGGUGCUUCUUCAAGUCCAGGUCCUUGACAUUCAGUGGGAUGAGAAUCUCAGAACUGACUACUGGGAACUCCCAAGCUGCAGAUCAGCACAGCUGGAAUUGGCAGACGCUGUUUCAAACAACCAAGUAAAGUGCAGUUAGUGUGGAAGUACUGUUGUGCAGCUGAACUAAAGGAAUUUUGCUGGAUAACUACUUGCCUGUUAUUGUCAUUGGCAAGUUGCAGAAACCAUCUUGGUAGGUGUGGAUUGCUUGUCAGAAAUCCGUUCCGAAGCUUGAGUGCAAAGGAAGCAGGGUACUAAUGAUGAAUAAGAAUGGAUAUCUUGAGGAUAACAAUGGAUACAGCAUCUUCAAAAGCAGUGGCAUUCUGUAUCCUUUUGGAGGAAGAGUGACCUGUACCUCACAUGGGAUUUUUUUUUUCUGGUCCUGGUCCUGCAACUGGAUUUGUUCAAAUGGACCUCGAUAGCCUGGGGACCUGAUGAAGUUCAUGGGACUCUGGUGACUGCAGGUUCUCACUCUGAAGAUCUGAUUGUAGGCCUGAACCUAAAUUUCUAUUUCAUUCUCCUGUCUGUUUGCUUCUUAAAUGAUGAAAAUUAUCCUUUAAAAUGGUGUUGUCGUUGAGUCUCAUGCACAUCCACUUUAGUAAUGUUCAGACACUGUGUGCCUGGGAUGUUGUCAGACGUUGUUAAAUUGUUUCUUUUCUGUUGUGUGCCUAAACCUCAUGAUUGCUCUGAUUAUUGUGUUAGAUUUUCCAUUUAGUGCCUUUCUACCUAAAAUGGAGGCGAUAAUUGCCUUCUUUUAGCUCAGAUUUUUAAGUCAGAGUAACUGGUGAAACUGUUCAGGUUAUUUUUAAAGAUGUAGGUAGAUUUGUUUAUUUCUUGCUGGACACAAAGUAUAAUAUUUUAAUUUGCAAACUUGGUAGCCUAUUAUUACUGAAAGCUUUCAAUAUGAUGAUACUCUGAUGUAAUAAAAUGAGUAGGAAA